This 103-nucleotide microRNA precursor is filed under the name Marmota monax (woodchuck). The record is from RNAcentral. Lineage: Eukaryota; Metazoa; Chordata; Mammalia; Rodentia; Sciuridae.
AGUGAGAUAGCUGGGUCAAAUGGUUAUUCCAUUCCAAGUUUUCUAAGGAAUAUCCAUACUGCUUUCCAUAGUGGGUGCACCAAUUUGCAGGGUCAUCAGAAAU